UACGUAGGGACCAAGCGUUGUUCGGAUUUACUGGGCGUAAAGGGCGCGUAGGCGGCAAUUCAAGUCAGCUGUGAAAUCUCCGGGCUUAACUCGGAACGGUCAGCUGAUACUGCUUUGCUAGAGUGCGGAAGGGGCAAUCGGAAUUCUCGGUGUAGCGGUGAAAUGCGUAGAUAUUGGGAGGAACACCAGUGGCGAAGGCGGCUCACUGGACCGGUACUGACGCUGAUGCGCGAAAGCGUGGGGAGCAAACGGG
This 253-nucleotide ribosomal RNA is filed under the name uncultured bacterium. RNAcentral's name for it is "partial 16S ribosomal RNA". It matches the Rfam family "Bacterial small subunit ribosomal RNA", at positions 524 to 776 of the family's 1533-position model. The record is from RNAcentral.